CCUUGGUGCUCAACGUUAACUAGGAACCACGCACAUCCAUCCCGAACUGUGCUGUGAAAUUGGUUAAGAGUUUAUGGAACUUAACGAAGACUCGUUUGGAAGCAUAAACUUAGUGCCAGGG
RNAcentral lists this ribosomal RNA (121 nucleotides) under Stephanosphaera pluvialis. The record is from RNAcentral. Lineage: Eukaryota; Viridiplantae; Chlorophyta; Chlorophyceae; Chlamydomonadales; Haematococcaceae.